This 1090-nucleotide long non-coding RNA is filed under the name Cricetulus griseus (Chinese hamster). RNAcentral describes it as "lncRNA (ENSCGRG00015029844.1)". The record is from RNAcentral. Lineage: Eukaryota; Metazoa; Chordata; Mammalia; Rodentia; Cricetidae.
UGGUAGAGCACAUUCCAAGCAAGCGUGAUGCCUCGGGUUCAAUCCCCAGCUCAUGAAGGGAGUGAAGAGAGAGGGCCCAGUGGAUACAAGUGGGUCUGUACCUAAGGGUGGCUCUUGAAGGACCCAUUCAAAAGGCCAGGAGCAGAGACACACUCUAAUCCUAGAGGCAGCAACAGGAAGAUCCCAGGGGCUUGCCUGGACAGUCCCUGGUAAAUGAAUUCACAAGCUCCAGGUUAAGUAAUGGACCCUGCCUCAAAAAACUAGCUGAAGGGGCUAGAGAGAUGGCUCAGUAGUUAAGAAUGCUUGCUGCUCUUCCAGAGGACCUGAGCUUGGUACAACUGCCUAUAAUUCCAGCUCUAGAGGGAUCCAGUGCCUCUAGCCUCCACAGUUAACAGGUCUGAAAUUGAGGCUGGCUUGAGGGCCACCACAGCUGCUCUUGACUGAGAUGACAAUAGCUGUCACACUCUGAGAAGACCGUUCCUCGGCAACUGCGUACUGUGGAAGGACACUUGAUUGUAGACAGUUGUUAUCUCUGGUCACAAUAGUAUGAGUUUCUCAAAAACUUUGAUGCCUGUGUCAAAAUUGUUUUUCAUUAAGUCUGUCCCAAUAGCUGGGUGGUGGUGGUGCACGCAUUUAAUUCCAGCACUCAGGAGGCAGAGGCAGGUGAAUCUCUGUGAGUUCAAGACCAGCCUGGUCUACAAGAGCUAGUUCCAGGACAGCCUCCAAAGCCACAGAGAAACCCAGACUUGGAAAAAAAAAAAAGUCUGUACCACUUUAUGUUAGUUCUAGCAUAUCUCAGUCCUACCUAGAAAAGCUUAUCUAAAAUGGAAUACAGUACUAUAACCUGAAAUAUUUUUAUUUUGCUAAUUUUGGGGGACAUUUCAUUGCUUAAUAUAUUCCUUAUUUUCUAAAAGAGUGAGAAAUAUGUGUAUGCUUAAUUGGCAUAGUUUCUUCUGUUAAUUAUCUCUUGGUAUUAGCUCUUUUUGUGGGGACACUGAGUAGACAGGAUCUUAAUAUACAACCCAGGCUAGCCCUGAACUUGCAAUCCUCCCACCCCAGUCUUUCGAGUACUGAGGUUACAGGUGUUUUG